UUGCUAUUGUGCUUUUAGUAUUGCAAGUCGAAGCAAAUGGAUGUGCUGCAGUGGUCCUUUUGUCUCUCUUUUUUUUUCCAUAUUUGCCUGAAUUAUUUUUUUCCUUUUUGUAUGUGUGCGCUCACUAAAUGCAGGAUUCCAUCAACUCAGCAUCAUCAUUGACGAAAACCUUGAGUACAGAGUUGGCUGAUAGUCAAAGACAGCUGUUAGCUAUUGCAGCAAACUCAGGUGCAACAAAUUCGUUGGCUACACAACCUAGCAAUGGACCUUUGGCUAGCUUCCAUGAGAAGGUUUGUUAUGUUUUAUGAUCUGAACUGUUUCAGCUGCUUAUGACUGUCAAAUAUCAUUUGUUAUCGCGGAGGUAAUUCUAAGCCUUCCCCGUUGAUGAUUCAGGUUGAAACACCUUUGGAUCCAACAAAAGAGCUAACACGAUUAAUAUCUGAAC
RNAcentral lists this long non-coding RNA (445 nucleotides) under Populus trichocarpa (black cottonwood). Its description in RNAcentral is "long non-coding RNA (PTRI_LNC000521)". The record is from RNAcentral. Lineage: Eukaryota; Viridiplantae; Streptophyta; Magnoliopsida; Malpighiales; Salicaceae.